UGUGGGAGGUGCCGACUCCUUUCCGUGCCGCAACUAACGCAUUAAGCACCCCGCCUGGGGAGUACGGCCGCAAGGCUAAAACCCAAAGGAAUUGACGGGGGCCCGCACAAGCAGCGGAGCAUGUUGUUUAAUUCGAUGCAACGCGAAGAACCUUACCAGGGCUUGACAUGCGCUGGAAACCCGUAGAAAUACGGCCCCCUUCGGGACCAGUGCACAGGUGGUGCAUGGCUGUCGUCAGCCCGUGUCGUGAGAUGUUGGGUUAAGCCCCGCAACGAGCGCAACCCCUGUCCCAUGUUGCCAGCGAGUCAUGUCGGGGACUCAUGGGAGACUGCCGGUGACAAAUCGGAGGAAGGUGGGGAUGAUGUCAAGUCAUCAUGCCCCUUAUGCCCUGGGCUACAAACGUGCUACAUUGGCCGGUACAGAGGGCUGCAAACCCGCGAGGGUGAGCGAAUCCAAAAAAGCCGGUCCCGGUUCGGAUUGAAGGCUGAAACUCGCCUUCAUGAAGGCGGAGUUGCUAGUAAUCGCGGAUCAGCAACGCCGCGGUGAA
Molecule: ribosomal RNA, 547 nt
Filed under: uncultured bacterium
Lineage: Bacteria
Description: bacterial SSU rRNA
Rfam family: Bacterial small subunit ribosomal RNA
Source: RNAcentral